GUUAUUUCAUGAAGCUAAAAAAUUGAAUUAUUCCAUGGAACAUUAAAAAAAAAAAAUCUCUACAAUUUCAAAAUACUUUACUCUGCAGUGCUGCCAAGAAUCACGAAUAUUACCACGAGUUUGAAUAAAUGGUAGAGUGGUUUUGAUUUUUUCUUCACAUAGAUACAAAGUAUUCGGCGCAUUUUUUGUGUUUUAAAAAGCACAUUUGCUAUAAUAAAAAUGCUGAUAGUUUAAAACCAAGCACAUGAACCCCUAUUUUUCAAUGUUUGUACCUCUUAGGUAUACCUUCCUCUACAACUCUGCAAAUUUUGGUGAAAAUGACAUGGAUUUUAAAUAAAGUGCAGCAUUUAUUGUACGUUUGUAGUUUGUUACUGAAAUUUUACAUUUUUUAGAUUGGGAUUUUGUUAUUUUUUACCCCAUUUUUAAGAACUGACAGUGCUGUUAAACUUAAAAUUGCAAACAAAUAGCACUAUAAGUAGAUUCUACACUCUAACAAUACAAUUAUUAACUCUCUUGCGAAAUUUGAUGACUUUUUCAUGUAUUUUGACUGAGUAAUAGAAGUUUAAAACUCAUUGUAGUAAUCUUGGGCGGUCUAAAAAUGCCAAAUUCUUUUGAAUGCGCAAUUCUUAAGAACAUCAAUUUGGGUGAAUUUUGAAGCUCUAUAGCAAAAAAUCAAGCACAUGGACCUAUGUUAAUUUUUGAAUAUUUCGAAUAUUAAGGUUCUAAAGUAUCUAUGCGCAAAGUUUGGUGAAAAUGACAUGGAUUUCACUUUAACUGUGGAACGUCCUUAAUCUGCUUUAAUCUGAGCAGCGCGCCGCCGCUAGCUGCGUCUAGCGGGGAGAUACAUCCUGUUCACUAAUUACCGCAGCGGGGGUGUGCUCGCGGGGUGCACGCUGCCAAUACAAUAUGGAUGGGCUCCCUUAAAUAACCAUGUGAUCGAUCAACUUGAAACCUUGCUCAUGUAUGCAAACAUAAGAGUGAUAGUGAUUAUAUCUUGAGGUAAUGUCAAGAUCAAAGGUCACAGAGGUCAUUACAUUAUAAGUACAUGGAUCUUGUUCUCAGGAUAAUUGAAGAACCCCUUUGGGGAUGAACUUCAAACUAAAUUCAUGUACAUUCUUAUUCAAGGGACAUUAAUGUCACAAUAUCAUAUGUCAGAGGUCACAGAGUCCAUUUUGUACUUGAAAAUAUCAUGCAGACUGAUACCCUGAUAGCAAUAUUCUUGACUAUUCUGGUCAUCUACCUUUCAUUUAUUCAUUUGUGAUGAAUUGGUUUGCCGUUGUCCACGACCACAAAUUAAUGAAAGGGUAAUGUAGUAGUUCAGUCAUUGCAAAUACAUGUAUUUUGUAUGGAUAGGAUGAAUUGGUGUUUGGCCAGUAAUAGAAAGUGACAUGUGUAUGUAGGUGGUGACUUUGAAAAAAAAAAGACAUCUAAUUUUGUGAUUUAAUUGUCCAGUUUGGUCAGAAGUCCCAUGUGGAAUGCGCAGCUUUCUCUCCCGAUGGUCAAUUCUUGGUGACUGGUAGUGUGGAUGGAUUCAUUGAGGUUUGGAACUUUCAGACUGGAAAGAUCAGAAAGGAUCUCAAGUAUCAGGCAGAGGAUUCGUUCAUGUUGAUGGAUGAUGCUGUGUUAUGUAUGUGCUUCAGUCGGGACAGCGAAAUGGUAGCUACUGGGGGUCAGGAUGGCAAGAUCAAGGUAUGGAAGGUUCAAACAGGACAAUGUUUGAGGAGAUUCGAGAAUGCUCACAGUAAAGGGGUCACUUCUGUCAAGUUCUCCAAAGAUGCCACUCAGAUUUUAAGCUCUUCAUUUGACCAAACUCUAAGGUUAGUAUAUUUCUAUUAUCUAUUUUCUUCAAGUACUCGUAAAGGCUAAAGGCUCAUUCUCUGUCAAGGCUCAUUCAAUUAUUGCACACCAAGGCUCAUUCAAUUAUUGCACACCAAAGCUCAGCAUCAAACCUCAUCAAUGUUUAAUAUCUUACAAAGUCAAUCGGAUUUAUGAGGCUUUAAAAAUGUUGAAGAGGCAAUCUGAAUUAUUUUCGUAAUGCGGCAAAAGCAAUUGCUGACCAGUCAAAUUUUGUUUUAAGAGUUGACGUAAAAUAAUCUGUCCAGAGUUGUUCAUACGAACUUGUGUCAUAAUACAACAUGAAAUCAUUACAUAGUACAUGUAUGAUUAUGAGUUGUGACAACACUAUGUAAAAUUUCUACAAUGUAUACGAUUCUCUGAGCGACCAUUGACAAUUUUCUAGACUUG
This is a long non-coding RNA of Lytechinus pictus (painted urchin), 2244 nucleotides long. RefSeq lists it as uncharacterized. The transcript is spliced from 3 exons. The record is from RefSeq and is a predicted model, not a curated record. Lineage: Eukaryota; Metazoa; Echinodermata; Echinoidea; Temnopleuroida; Toxopneustidae.